GAGUCGGACCUGCCCAGUGAAUAAUUUUAACGGCCGCGGUACUCUGACCGUGCGAAGGUAGCAUAAUCAUUUGCCCUAUAAUUGAGGGCUAGUAUGAAUGGUUUGACGCGAACAAGACUGUCUCUGUAUAAUUUUUUAGAAUUUGAUUUCUAGGUGAAGAAACCUAGAUAUUAUUGAUAGACAAGAAGACCCUAUUGAGCUUUAAAGAAACAGGUUGAGAGAAAUGUAUGGUUUUAAAUAUUAAUCUGCUUGAAAUUUUGGUUGGGGCGACUAUGGAACAAAUAAAACUUCUUUAUAUUCUUAAAAACUUUCGGGUCUUGAUCCAAAAAUUUUGAUUAAUGGAAAUAGUUACCAUAGGGAUAACAGCAUAAUUCUCUUUGAGAGUUCUUAUCGAAAAGGGAGUUUGUGACCUCGAUGUUGGACUAGAAUGUCCUAAAGAUGCAGCAGUCUUUAAGGGUUGGUC
Molecule: ribosomal RNA, 463 nt
Filed under: Leporicypraea mappa viridis
Lineage: Eukaryota; Metazoa; Mollusca; Gastropoda; Littorinimorpha; Cypraeidae
Description: partial 16S large subunit ribosomal RNA
Rfam family: Bacterial large subunit ribosomal RNA
Source: RNAcentral